CCAAUAGCGUAUAUUAAAGUUGUUGCAGUUAAAAAGCUCGUAGUUGAAUUUUGGGUCUGGCCGGGCGGUCCGCCCUCCGGGUGAGCACUGUUCCGACGCCGGGCCUAUCCUUCUGGUGAGUCGGCAUGCCCUUCACUGGGUGUGUCGGGGAACCAGGACCAUUACCUUGAAAAAAUUAGAGUGUUCAAAGCAGGCGCAAGCCCGAAUAGAUUAGCAUGGAAUAAUGAAAUAGGACGCGUGGUGCUAUUUUGUUGGUUUCUAGAACCGCCGUAAUGAUUAAUAGGGAUAGUUGGGGGCAUUAGUAUUCAAUUGUCAGAGGUGAAAUUCUUGGAUUUAUUGAAGACUAACUUCUGCGAAAGCAUUUGCCAAGGAUGUUUUCAUUAAUCAAGAACGAAAGUUAGGGGAUCGAAGACGAUCAGAUACCGUCGUAGUCUUAACCAUAAACUAUGCCGACUAGGAAUCGGGCGAUGUUAUUCUCAUGACUCGCCCGGCGCCUUAUG
Molecule: ribosomal RNA, 500 nt
Filed under: uncultured Glomeromycotina
Lineage: Eukaryota; Fungi; Glomeromycota
Description: partial small subunit ribosomal RNA
Rfam family: Eukaryotic small subunit ribosomal RNA
Source: RNAcentral